AUGUCAUGAGAACUUUUGUUUCCACAUAGGGGAUGGAACAGCCUUCCACUAAUAAAGACAUUCCUUGAUCAAGUAUUUAUGUUGUGAAUUGCAUUGCACCCUGAGAUUAUAAUUUCAAGCAUGGAAGUAGGGUGAUGGUCCUAUGGAAUCAGUUUUCUUUGCAUAUCAGUACGGUACUCAUUGUGUAAUAUUCAGUUUUACAAUUUAUUUACCCUCAGAAUCACACUAAGUUACAACGAGGCAAAUUCUGGAGUUGCUUGCAACCUUCAAUCCCCUGGUUUCCAUGUCCUAUGUAAAGCGACUGAAGAGGCAGUGGUGCAUGUAAAGCCCUAUUCUAUUACUGGUAGUUUGCCACUUAUUAGAGAAUUGCAGGUACAAUGAAUUUGCUUGUCAUAAGACUCAAAUCUUUUGGCAUCCUUCUAACUUUGUUAUUUGGCAGGAUGAGGGCUUUGAUGUCCAAACUGCAGGCUAUGCUAAGAUUCUUCCAUAUCCUACCACUUUUUUAUUUAAAUAAUAUAAGCUUAUAGCUGUAUGCUUCUGAUAGUAUUUUGUGAAAAAGAUGUUUUGGUCUGCAUUAGGAUUUUUCCCAGAGCUUGGUUGCUUGAAUCCUUUCUUGAGCAUGUUACUUGCCAGUUAUACCAUUCUUCUUAUCUUAGAAGGAACUCAAUGAAAGCAUGUUAAGAUUCUGUCUUCCUGAUAAUUAUUUCUUCUAUAUGGCUAACACCUAACCUGGUUGACGUCUUCUAUACCCAUUCUGAUGCAAAAGAUAUAUAUGCUGCUGUCAAUUUUGGCUACACCAAAACAGAUGGAUUAAUGGAUUUUGCUCUUUUCAUAAACAUGCAGGCUUGAUGGCUACAUACCAUGCCAAGAAUGAGUACUGCCUUCUAACUGACUUGUGCCAGGGCUAUCAUGUGCCUUGGCUAUCAAGUACCAAGGCCUUGGCUAUCAUGUGCCCCUUGUGCCCAUGUCAUGAUAAUAAUAACGAAUAAAAUUCAUGACUUUCAUUAUUGAUGUGAAUGUCAGAUGAUGGAAUAGUGGUAAAGGUUGCAAAGGAGGGAAUUCCACUGCCUCCAGAUAGAAUGUUAUGCCCUUUGCAUUCACAAAAGCGUGUAAACCCAUCAGCUGUAGCUGUUUCAGGAUUUGUCUUUUGUUAUUCUUACAUAUUUAAAUAAGUCUCUUAGGUUUGUUUCUCCAUACUUUUGUAUUGAUCAUGGUAAAAUUGCAGAACUACUGCCAAAUAUUGUUUCUAAGUGAUGCUUUCUCUUAUGUCA
Molecule: long non-coding RNA, 1271 nt
Organism: Coffea eugenioides
Lineage: Eukaryota; Viridiplantae; Streptophyta; Magnoliopsida; Gentianales; Rubiaceae
Exons: 2
Source: RefSeq, a predicted model, not a curated record